AGUGGCGCACGGGUGAGUAACGCGUGGGUAAUCUACCUCCGAAUCGGGGAUAACCCGCCGAAAGGCGAGCUAAUACCGGAUAAUAUCUUUAAAACUUCGGUUUUUAAGAUCAAAGGUGGUCUCUACAUGUAAGCUACUGUUUGGAGAUGAGCCCGCGUACCAUUAGCUUGUUGGUAGGGUAAUGGCCUACCAAGGCCACGAUGGUUAGCUGGUCUGAGAGGAUGAUCAGCCACACUGGAACUGACACACGGUCCAGACUCCUACGGGAGGCAGCAGUGAGGAAUUUUGCGCAAUGGGGGAAACCCUGACGCAGCAACGCCGCGUGAGUGAUGAAGGCUUUCGGGUCGUAAAGCUCUGUCAAGUGGGAAGAACCUGCUAGAUACUAAUACCAUCUAGCACUGACGGUACCACUAAAGGAAGCACCGGCUAACUCCGUGCCAGCAGCCGCGGUAAUACGGGGGGUGCAAGCGUUAUUCGGAAUUAUUGGGCGUAAAGGGCGCGUAGGCGGUCUCUAAAGUCAGAUGUGAAAGCCCGGGGCUUAACCCCGGAAGUGCAUUUGAAACUUAGGGACUUGAGUAUGGGAGAGGGAAGUGGAAUUCCUGGUGUAGCGGUGAAAUGCGUAGAUAUCAGGAGGAACACCAGUGGCGAAGGCGACUUCCUGGACCAAUACUGACGCUGAGGCGCGAAGGCGUGGGGAGCAAACAGGAUUAGAUACCCUGGUAGUCCACGCAGUAAACGUUG
RNAcentral lists this ribosomal RNA (741 nucleotides) under uncultured delta proteobacterium. Its description in RNAcentral is "bacterial SSU rRNA". It matches the Rfam family "Bacterial small subunit ribosomal RNA", at positions 94 to 811 of the family's 1533-position model. Lineage: Bacteria; Deltaproteobacteria. The record is from RNAcentral.